RNAcentral lists this transfer RNA (68 nucleotides) under Mantidae JZ-2017. RNAcentral's name for it is "tRNA-Glu". The record is from RNAcentral. Lineage: Eukaryota; Metazoa; Arthropoda; Insecta; Mantodea; Mantidae.
AUUUAUAUAGUUUAAAAAAAACAUUAUAUUUUCAGUGUAAAAAUAAAAUUAAUAAACUUUUAUAAAUU